This 254-nucleotide ribosomal RNA is filed under the name uncultured bacterium. RNAcentral describes it as "partial 16S ribosomal RNA". It matches the Rfam family "Bacterial small subunit ribosomal RNA", at positions 524 to 776 of the family's 1533-position model. The record is from RNAcentral.
UACGUAGGGGGCGAGCGUUGUCCGGAUUUAUUGGGCGUAAAGAGCUCGUAGGCGGUUUGGCAAGUCGGGUGUGAAAACUCCGGGCUCAACUCGGAGACGCCACUCGAUACUGCUAUGACUCGAGUCCGGUAGGGGAGUGCGGAAUUCCUGGUGUAGCGGUGAAAUGCGCAGAUAUCAGGAGGAACACCGGUGGCGAAGGCGGCACUCUGGGCCGGAACUGACGCUGAGGAGCGAAAGCGUGGGGAGCAAACAGG